AAUUAUGGCGGGUGUGUGCGGGGCACUUUCGGGUGCGCCGGGUUCCUGGAUUCCCGGUCUUCCACACCUGCGCGCACGUCGACCCG
Molecule: non-coding RNA, 86 nt
Organism: Pseudomonas sp. G5(2012)
Lineage: Bacteria; Pseudomonadati; Pseudomonadota; Gammaproteobacteria; Pseudomonadales; Pseudomonadaceae
Source: Rfam